UCGUGGAAUAGUCUGUCUGGUUAAUUCCGAUAACGAGCGAGACCUCAGCCUGCUAAUUAGAUGGUGGAAUUUCGAUUCUUAUCGUCUUCUUAGAGGGACUAUCGGUUUUCAGCCGAAGGGAGUUUGAGGCAACAACA
This 137-nucleotide ribosomal RNA is filed under the name uncultured eukaryote. RNAcentral's name for it is "partial 18S ribosomal RNA". It matches the Rfam family "Eukaryotic small subunit ribosomal RNA", at positions 1299 to 1458 of the family's 1831-position model. The record is from RNAcentral.